AACGAACGCUGGCGGCAUGCCUAACACAUGCAAGUCGAACGAGACCUUCGGGUCUAGUGGCGCACGGGUGCGUAACGCGUGGGAACCUGCCCUUAGGUUCGGAAUAACUCCCCGAAAGGGGUGCUAAUACCGGAUAAUGUCUUCGGACCAAAGAUUUAUCGCCUUUGGAUGGGCCCGCGUUGGAUUAGCUAGUUGGUAGGGUAAAAGCCUACCAAGGCGACGAUCCAUAGCUGGUCUGAGAGGAUGAUCAGCCACACUGGGACUGAGACACGGCCCAGACUCCUACGGGAGGCAGCAGUGGGGAAUAUUGGACAAUGGGCGAAAGCCUGAUCCAGCACUGCCGCGUGAGUGAUGAAGGCCUUAGGGUUGUAAAGCUCUUUUACCCGGGAUGAUAAUGACAGUACCAGGAGAAUAAGCUCCGGCUAACUCCGU
RNAcentral lists this ribosomal RNA (432 nucleotides) under uncultured bacterium. Its description in RNAcentral is "partial 16S ribosomal RNA". It matches the Rfam family "Bacterial small subunit ribosomal RNA", at positions 29 to 506 of the family's 1533-position model. The record is from RNAcentral.